This 2644-nucleotide long non-coding RNA is filed under the name Venturia canescens. RNAcentral describes it as "uncharacterized LOC122419341". The record is from RNAcentral. Lineage: Eukaryota; Metazoa; Arthropoda; Insecta; Hymenoptera; Ichneumonidae.
CGAGCCGAAAUUUCGUUGUACAGGUUACUAUUCCUUUUAGGCUCAUGUAUAUACGAGAUAAACUGUUCCCAAAAAUGAUGUGUUACAGCGCCGAUGUUACACGAUGACGAAAUACAAUUAUGAUAUGGUUUUGAUUGCAUUGACUGGUAGAUCGUGCCGUGGUACGUGGUGUGGUGGUGGUUGUAUGGUGAAUAACAAGUGGGAAAGUUGACACAUCAGGCAACAACCAACGUCAAAAAGGGAUUGAUAUAAAACUUCUGUGACCUUGAGUUAACGUAUCCUCUGUACGAAUACUUUCGUUACUAUAUAUUCUCCUGCAAUAAUAUAACGAUUUACUAUAUAUUUUUUCAAUUAAGAAAUGAAUCUCGAUCUGGCACAAUAAUAAAAACAGACUAAUACUGUCGCCUUGGCCAUUUUUCCAGCGGGAAAACAAAAAUUGUAAUACGUGAUAGGACGGGAAUGAUGGAGAGCGAGAGUAGAGUGUAUGCUUGAUAUAACAAGGUCUGUUUCAUGGUAGGCAAGGGUACGGUGUCGUCAAAUGGACAUCGAGCGAGUCACCAUCGUGUCAAAUGCCCAUAAAAUAUAGAUAUACCGCGCCGUUGUAUGGUCGUCAACGGUAUAUCUAUAUUUUAUGGGGAUUUGACACAAUGGAGAAUCGCCCGAUGUCCAUUUGACACCCUGCCAGUAGGCAAGGAUCCAAGCGAUCCAAGGAUGGCAGGAAUUGAGGGUAGGGUAUAGACCGUAUAGACAAUAUGGCAUAUCAUAUAGAUAACGUAUAGAUUGGCCGAAAAUGGUGCCGUCCAAGGUGCCGUCACUGUUUCCGGCCAGUCGAAAGAAAUGGAGUCAGAUAGUUCUAGAUACAGGCAUAGAUGUCGUAAUAAGCAUUUUCGUCGAUAAUUCGAAAAUUGCAGUCUCGCGGCGACAGAGGGGUUCUCAUAUAUGAAUACAUAGAUAUAUGCAUAUCUGAGACUUGUUUUCGUAGUUUGCACGUCAUGUUGAUGUGUGAGGUUAUGAUCCCCAGAGUGCUGUUGCAUGCGUCGAUAAAUGAAAAUGGGCAUCCCAAUGGAGCUAAGGAAAAAUUUGUCUCUCUUCCUAAUCUUCGGUUCUCUCUGGUCACCAGCAAUGAAGAAGCUAUUUCUGAGAACGAUGAGAGACCUCAGAACGAGUUGACACACUUUAUAGAUACAGUCUGCCUCAACACAGCUUUUGGUGAAUAUAUUUUGAUGGGACCAUGAGAAGCCUAAGAGCCUUUUAUGGCUGCUGUCAGAGGAAUUUCAUACGAGCAGAAUGGUGAUUGAAUUCUCGCUGGGCGACGUGGAUCCGACUUACGAGAAUCUCGUGAACAAAUUGCAGAUAUAGUUGUAUACCUGCAAGGCUUGGCUCCGUUCACCAAAGAUUGGUUGCUCAGACCUGCAACUUAUUUAUGAUUGAGUUCUCUCAUUCUAUAUGCAAGCUCUUGUCAAUCUUGCUGGUGUUAAUCCUGGCAAAAGGUUGAUCAGUCGUGCGACCAAAGCCUUCAACAAGAAGCAAAGAAACCAUAAUGGAUUGAAGCCGCUACCUCUUCUAUGAGAAGCAAAGCGGUAAAUGUAAAACCAAAAGAAAAAUGAAAGGCGAAACUACUGGAGAUGGCGAAAUUGGAAAAAUUUAUCAAAAAACCUGUGGAUGAUUCGCCUGUAUUUAAAAAAGUUUAAUCAUCACGAUUUCAUAAAAACGUUUGUUAAUAAUUUUUUUAGAAUUUUAUUACAACAGAUAAGGUCAAUUACAAAAUUUUCCUAAAAUAGUUGCAUUUUUUCUGUUGUUUUCCAAUAAAGUGCAAAAUUGUAAUGUAUACCAAUUUUGCACUUUAAUACCUCGAUGUUUUUACCAAUUUUUGUCUAGUAUCUGUACAUGUCUAGGUAAUCAGAAAGGAAUAAACCUCAUAAGUAUCAUAUAAGGUUGCAGUGAAGAAAACGAAGUUGAAAUUAUCCGACGGAUAACUUUAUCUGAAGGAUAGCUAUCGGGAGGUAUGAAAAGGGUCAUAAAAAAAAGUCAUGCAAGUAUGUAAAAUCCUGGUAAAAUGAGUUGGGCAAAUUCACGGAGGUUUGAUAGAAACGUUCGUUCACACGGUGCUUUUAUUCCGGUUUUGUAUGUGUCAACAAAUAUAUUUAUAUAAAUUAAUACAGCUGUAUUUUGUAUAUCGGAUUACGUUUACACGGCACUCUUCUUCCGGUUUAGUUAUAUCAAUAUAGAUAUACAAUAUACAUAUUUAUCGAUAUAUAGAAAUAUACCCGUCUGUAUAUAUAAAAUCGGAAUAAAAGCGUCGUGUAAACGUAGUCAAUGUUAUGAAUUAUGCAAAUAUCACCAAAAAUAGAGAUGCGGGCAAAAUCGUUAUCUAUCUCUGUUGACUGAGCUCACGGCGUCUUUGGUAUACGACAAUACGACUCGAUUACCAGGCUUGUUUCACGAGACGGUGAAAUAUUUUCGCUUUUGCUUCUGUUUUAUCCGUAGUUCACAGCUAUUUUCAGUUUUUAUUCAAAAUUUCAUGACUAGAUAAUUUAAUGAGAACAGUGAUCAAUUAAGUAAGUUGAGGCAUUAGAAAGAAAAUGAUGUCAUCGCUUUUAAACCGAUUGCAUCUUAUAAAGUGAAGUGUAAAAAAAAAAAUCAG